This 253-nucleotide ribosomal RNA is filed under the name uncultured bacterium. Its description in RNAcentral is "partial 16S ribosomal RNA". It matches the Rfam family "Bacterial small subunit ribosomal RNA", at positions 524 to 776 of the family's 1533-position model. The record is from RNAcentral.
UACGUAGGUGACCAGCGUUGUCCGGAUUUACUGGGCGUAAAGAGCGCGCAGGCGGUCGUUCAAGUCGAGUGUGAAAGCCCCCGGCUCAACUGGGGAGGGUCACUCGAUACUGAUCGACUUGAAGGCAGGAGAGGGAGGCGGAAUUCCCGGUGUAGUGGUGAAAUGCGUAGAUAUCGGGAGGAACACCAGUGGCGAAGGCGGCUUCCUGGCCUGUUCUUGACGCUGAGGCGCGAAAGCUAGGGGAGCAAACGGG